GUGGGGAAUCUUCCGCAAUGGACGAAAGUCUGACGGAGCAACGCCGCGUGAGUGAAGAAGGUUUUCGGAUCGUAAAGCUCUUUCGUCAGGGACGAACGUAUUUCUUGUAAAUAAUGAGAGAUAGUGACGGUACCUGAAUAAGAAGCCACGGCUAACUACGUGCCAGCAGCCGCGGUAAUACGUAGGUGGCAAGCGUUGUCCGGAAUUAUUGGGCGUAAAGCGCGCGCAGGCGGGAUAUCAAGUCUGUCUUAAAAGUGCGAGGCUCAACCUCGUGAGGGGACAGAAACUGGUAUUCUUGAGUGUCGGAGAGGAAAGUGGAAUUCCAAGUGUAGCGGUGAAAUGCGUAGAGAUUUGGAAGAACACCAGUGGCGAAGGCGACUUUCUGGACGAUGUCUGACGCUGAGGCGCGAAAGCUAGGGGAGCGAACGGGAUUAGAUACCCGAGUAGUCC
This 450-nucleotide ribosomal RNA is filed under the name uncultured bacterium. RNAcentral's name for it is "partial 16S ribosomal RNA". It matches the Rfam family "Bacterial small subunit ribosomal RNA", at positions 354 to 796 of the family's 1533-position model. The record is from RNAcentral.